AUGGCUCGCACUGCAGCUACUAAGCUCGUGCUGGUCGCCCUGGUGGCGGCAAUGAUCCUCGCAGCCUCCGACGCGGCCAUCAGCUGCGGCCAGGUGAGCUCUGCCUUGGCCCCCUGCGUCGCCUAUGCGAAGGGCAGCGGGACCAGCCCGUCUGGGGCCUGCUGCAGCGGCGUCAGGAAAUUGGCCGGCUUAGCGCGGAGCACCGCCGACAAGCAAGCUACAUGCAGGUGCCUCAAGAGUGUUGCCGGAGGGCUCAACCCCAACAAGGCCGCAGGCAUUCCCUCCAAGUGCGGCGUCAGCGUCCCCUACACGAUCAGCGCAUCCGUGGACUGCUCUAAGAUCCACUGA
Molecule: ribosomal RNA, 348 nt
Filed under: Triticum aestivum (bread wheat)
Lineage: Eukaryota; Viridiplantae; Streptophyta; Magnoliopsida; Poales; Poaceae
Description: partial small subunit ribosomal RNA
Source: RNAcentral